GGAAGAGUAUGCCACGUCCAUUUACAACCGCGUUUAUCAGAAUUUCUUACCGCUGCAGCAAAGCAACUGGAUACUCCUAAGCUGAAGGAAAUUGUUUCUGUGGCAAACAAUGCCUGCUGGGCAAUUGGAGAAUUAGCUGUUAAGGUACACCAAGAAAUUUCUCCUGUCGUUUUGACAGUGAUUUCAAGCUUGGUCCCGAUUCUCCAACAUGCACAGGAGCUAAAUAAAUCUCUGGUAGAAAACAGUGCAAUUACACUUGGAAGGAUUGCAUGGGUUUGCC
Molecule: unclassified non-coding RNA, 280 nt
Filed under: Hevea brasiliensis (rubber tree)
Lineage: Eukaryota; Viridiplantae; Streptophyta; Magnoliopsida; Malpighiales; Euphorbiaceae
Source: RNAcentral